Small nuclear RNA from Phyllostomus discolor (pale spear-nosed bat), 164 nucleotides. RefSeq annotates it as U1 spliceosomal RNA. The transcript has a single exon. The record is from RefSeq and is a predicted model, not a curated record. Lineage: Eukaryota; Metazoa; Chordata; Mammalia; Chiroptera; Phyllostomidae.
AUACCUACCUGGCAGAAAAGAUACCAUGAUCACGAAGGUGGUUUUCCCAGAGCGAGGCUUAUCCAUUGCCCUCCGUCUGUGCUGACCUGUGCGAUUUCCUCAAAUGUGGGAAGAUCGACUGCAUGAUUUGUGAACAUGGGGGACUGCGUUGGUGCUCUCCUCUG